Molecule: ribosomal RNA, 464 nt
Filed under: uncultured bacterium
Lineage: Bacteria
Description: bacterial SSU rRNA
Rfam family: Bacterial small subunit ribosomal RNA
Source: RNAcentral
GAUGAACGCUGGCGGCGUGCUUAAUACAUGCAAGUCGGGCGAAGCGCUUUAACGGAAUUCUUCGGAAGGAAGAUAAAGUGACUGAGCGGCGGACGGGUGAGUAACGCGUGGGUAACCUGCCUCAUACAGGGGGAUAACAGUUAGAAAUGGCUGCUAAUACCGCAUAAGCGCACAGGACCGCAUGGUCUGGUGUGAAAAACUCCGGUGGUAUGGGAUGGACCCGCGUUGGAUUAGGUAGUUGGUGGGGUAACGGCCUACCAAGCCGACGAUCCAUAGCCGGCCUGAGAGGGUGGACGGCCACAUUGGGACUGAGACACGGCCCAGACUCCUACGGGAGGCAGCAGUAGGGAAUAUUGCACAAUGGGGGAAACCCUGAUGCAGCGACGCCGCGUGAAGGAAGAAGUAUCUCGGUAUGUAAACUUCUAUCAGCAGGGAAGACAAUGACGGUACCUGACUAAGAAGCC